Non-coding RNA from Stegodyphus mimosarum, 73 nucleotides. Lineage: Eukaryota; Metazoa; Arthropoda; Arachnida; Araneae; Eresidae. The record is from Rfam.
GCCUUCGUGGUGUAGUGGUCAGCACGCUCGACGCGUAUUCGAGAGGUCCAUGGUUCAAGUCCCCGCUAGGGCA